Non-coding RNA from Pantherophis guttatus, 1173 nucleotides. The record is from RefSeq and is a predicted model, not a curated record. NCBI's taxonomy places the organism in Eukaryota, Metazoa, Chordata, Lepidosauria, Squamata, Colubridae.
GAUCAUCAGAGGCUUUUAAAAGCAUUUUUUUCUGCAACCUCUUCAGCCGAAGAGGCUAUAGAAUAAAUGCUUUUAAAAGUUAAAAAAAAAAAGUUGGCCACCCCCACCCAGUCACAUUACCCCCCCACCAAGCCACGCUUACAGAACCAGUAGUAACAAAUUUUACAUUUCACCUCUGCAUCAAAUGGACAAAUGUUAGAUUAGCCCUCCCUUUAAAUUGUAAUUGUAAGGAUGGGGGCCUUUUGAUGGUAAAUAAUCUCAUUCUUAAUCAGAGAUGUAAGUUUUCCAGGUCAAAGUUUUUCAGGUAAAUUUAGCAGCUUCACAAUUGUACGAUACUUGCCUCACAGGUGUUCAUUCUAAAAUAAAUCAAAAAGCAACAGCAGCAGGGAUUUCUGGUUCCAAUGACUGGAAUGGCUUAGAAGUAAUCAGCUAGAGAAGCUACAGAAAAAUCAAGAGACAAGUAACUCUUGUUCUUCUUUAGCAUCCAUGUGGACAAAGUAUGAACUUCCUGCAGGCCAAAGGCCGCUUCACAUGUGUCCUCUCUUGAUCUUGGCAACUCAGUUAUUACCCUGGGUAAUGGGUAUCCUUGAAAGGGACAUGUGCUGGUAAUCCCCACCUCAGGCCUGAAUCUCACACAACAAUAAAUGUAUGGCAUUGUUAUGAAGAAACUAUUUCAGGUAAGAAGAAGAUUGCCCAGAAGAAUAUUCUAAUAAUAUUACAAGGAUGAAGAAGGAUUUAAGAUAAUGCAGAAACUUUUGUAAAAGAACACACAUCAUUUUUGUUUCUGAAAAGCUAAUAAAAUAAUGGGACGAAGAAAAAUCAUCUGAAAGAAGCCUACAUCAAGAAUCCUAUGAACUUGGUAACGCAAGUAAUAAUUUCAGAAAUCUUGAACUUCAAAGAUUAAUCACCAGAUGUACUAUCCAUUUUAAGUUCAUGUCAAGAUGGUCAAUUGAUCUUUAUUGAAAAAAUGUUAAAAGAAGAUCAAGGAAAAAUAGACAAGACAAUGGCUAGAACUAUAUUUGCAGGCAGCGAGCCUCCUGAUGUGACUGGAAACCAUUUCUGGAAGGAACAUUAUGACCUAAUUUGCCCAUCAUAUGAAGUGUCAUCUCUAUUGUUCUACUUUACUGCUCAAUGUUUGUUUCUAACAUUCCAAUAAAUUUUUUUCUCUACGUA